RNAcentral lists this ribosomal RNA (774 nucleotides) under uncultured Neocallimastigales. RNAcentral's name for it is "partial large subunit ribosomal RNA". It matches the Rfam family "Eukaryotic large subunit ribosomal RNA", at positions 18 to 634 of the family's 3401-position model. Lineage: Eukaryota; Fungi; Neocallimastigomycota; Neocallimastigomycetes; Neocallimastigales. The record is from RNAcentral.
UCAGACGAUGCGUCAUGCAUAUCAAUAAGCGGAGGAAAAGAAACUAACAAGGAUUCCCUUAGUAACGGCGAGUGAAGCGGGAAGAGCUCAAAUUUGAAAUCUUCAAGGUUUUACCUUGACGAAUUGUAGUUUAAAGAAGUGUUUUCUGUUGAAGUUUUGGUAAAAGUUCUUUGGAAUAGGACAUCAUAGAGGGUGAGAAUCCCGUAUUUGACCAUUAUUUUCAGCUGUGUGAUACACUUUCAAAGAGUCGGAUUGUUUGGGAAUGCAGUCCAAAAUGGGUGGUAAAUUUCAUCUAAAGCUAAAUAUUGGCGAGAGACCGAUAGCGAACAAGUACCGUGAGGGAAAGAUGAAAAGAACUUUGAAAAGAGAGUUAAACAGUACGUGAAAUUGUCAAAAGGGAAGCGUUUGACACCAGUGUUGUUUUCUCGAAAAUCAAUUAAAAAGAGUUAGAUUUUGUUGUGUAUUGACCUUAACAGCUUGCAUUUCAAUUUUCUUGCUUUUUUUAAUACACUUUUCGUUUAACAAGUCAACAUCAGUUUCUUUUGUUGUAAAAAGGUCAUUGGAAGGUGGCUUUCUUUUCGGAGAAAGUGUUUAUAGCCUUUGACUCCUGCAAUCGGAGAGACUGAGGUCUGCAGCGUAGAUCCUUCGGGGUUAGAUACAUUUGUGCUAAGUUAUAGCUUUUUAUAGACAACUUGUUGACUAUGAUUAGUCUUGUAGCUUACUCGCUUAUGCUAUUUUACCUACGCUUAGGAUGUUGAGUCGUAGAGCACGCAG